RNAcentral lists this ribosomal RNA (497 nucleotides) under uncultured bacterium. Its description in RNAcentral is "partial 16S ribosomal RNA". It matches the Rfam family "Bacterial small subunit ribosomal RNA", at positions 28 to 507 of the family's 1533-position model. The record is from RNAcentral.
GAUGAACGCUGGCGGCGUGCCUAAUACAUGCAAGUCGAGCGAACAGACGAGGAGCUUGCUCCUCUGACGUUAGCGGCGGACGGGUGAGUAACACGUGGAUAACCUACCUAUAAGACUGGGAUAACUUCGGGAAACCGGAGCUAAUACCGGAUAAUAUAUUGAACCGCAUGGUUCAAUAGUGAAAGACGGUUUUGCUGUCACUUAUAGAUGGAUCCGCGCUGCAUUAGCUAGUUGGUAAGGUAACGGCUUACCAAGGCAACGAUGCGUAGCCGACCUGAGAGGGUGAGCGGCCACACUGGAACUGAGACACGGUCCAGACUCCUACGGGAGGCAGCAGUAGGGAAUCUUCCGCAAUGGGCGAAAGCUUGACGGAGCAACGCCGCGUGAUUGAUGAAGGUCUUCGGAUCGUAAAACUCUGUUAUUAGGGAAGAACAAAUGUGUAAGUAACUAUGCACGUCUUGACGGUACCUAAUCAGAAAGCCACGGCUAACUACGUG